UACGUAGGGUGCGAGCGUUGUCCGGAAUUAUUGGGCGUAAAGAGCUUGUAGGCGGUUUGUCGCGUCUGCCGUGAAAGCCCAGGGCUUAACCCUGGGUCUGCGGUGGGUACGGGCAGACUAGAGUGUGGUAGGGGAGACUGGAAUUCCUGGUGUAGCGGUGAAAUACGCAGAUAUCAGGAGGAACACCGAUGGCGAAGGCAGGUCUCUGGGCCACUACUGACGCUGAGAAGCGAAAGCAUGGGGAGCAAACAGG
This 253-nucleotide ribosomal RNA is filed under the name uncultured bacterium. RNAcentral's name for it is "partial 16S ribosomal RNA". It matches the Rfam family "Bacterial small subunit ribosomal RNA", at positions 524 to 776 of the family's 1533-position model. The record is from RNAcentral.